CAGUAGCCGCGGUAAUACGUAGGGUGCGAGCGUUAAUCGGAAUUACUGGGCGUAAAGCGUGCGCAGGCGGUUAUAUAAGACAGAUGUGAAAUCCCCGGGCUCAACCUGGGACCUGCAUUUGUGACUGUAUAGCUAGAGUACGGUAGAGGGGGAUGGAAUUCCGCGUGUAGCAGUGAAAUGCGUAGAUAUGCGGAGGAACACCGAUGGCGAAGGCAAUCCCCUGGACCUGUACUGACGCUCAUGCACGAAAGCGUGGGGAGUAAACAGGAUUAGAGACCCGAGUAGUCCCUGUCUCUUAUAC
This 301-nucleotide ribosomal RNA is filed under the name uncultured bacterium. Its description in RNAcentral is "partial 16S ribosomal RNA". It matches the Rfam family "Bacterial small subunit ribosomal RNA", at positions 509 to 807 of the family's 1533-position model. The record is from RNAcentral.